RNAcentral lists this ribosomal RNA (378 nucleotides) under Listeria monocytogenes. Its description in RNAcentral is "bacterial SSU rRNA". It matches the Rfam family "Bacterial small subunit ribosomal RNA", at positions 202 to 567 of the family's 1533-position model. The record is from RNAcentral. Lineage: Bacteria; Bacillati; Bacillota; Bacilli; Caryophanales; Listeriaceae.
GAAAGAUGGUUUCGGCUAUCGCUUACAGAUGGGCCCGCGGUGCAUUAGCUAGUUGGUAGGGUAAUGGCCUACCAAGGCAACGAUGCAUAGCCGACCUGAGAGGGUGAUCGGCCACACUGGGACUGAGACACGGCCCAGACUCCUACGGGAGGCAGCAGUAGGGAAUCUUCCGCAAUGGACGAAAGUCUGACGGAGCAACGCCGCGUGUAUGAAGAAGGUUUUCGGAUCGUAAAGUACUGUUGUUAGAGAAGAACAAGGAUAAGAGUAACUGCUUGUCCCUUGACGGUAUCUAACCAGAAAGCCACGGCUAACUACGUGCCAGCAGCCGCGGUAAUACGUAGGUGGCAAGCGUUGUCCGGAUUUAUUGGGCGUAAAGCG